This 213-nucleotide long non-coding RNA is filed under the name Homo sapiens (human). RNAcentral's name for it is "non-protein coding lnc-NIPSNAP3B-5:1". Lineage: Eukaryota; Metazoa; Chordata; Mammalia; Primates; Hominidae. The record is from RNAcentral.
AUUUGAGAACAGCCUGGGCAACAUAGCUAGACCUGAUGUCUACUAAGCAUUUUUUGAAACUUUCUUUUUUUUUUUUUUUUUUUUUUGGUGGGGGGAGGGGCGGGGGGCAUCUCUGCCAAGCAUCUCCUAGAUUUCCAUAAUGUUUUUCCCUCCAAGCCAAUUCCAUGAUCCUUGGCAUCUCUCAAAGGCCUGAAGAGGCCACCUGAGGUUGCC